RNAcentral lists this ribosomal RNA (466 nucleotides) under uncultured bacterium. Its description in RNAcentral is "partial 16S ribosomal RNA". It matches the Rfam family "Bacterial small subunit ribosomal RNA", at positions 28 to 507 of the family's 1533-position model. The record is from RNAcentral.
GAUGAACGCUGGCGGCGUGCUUAACACAUGCAAGUCGAACGGAAAGGCUCCUGCUUGCAGGGGUACUCGAGUGGCGAACGGGUGAGUAACACGUGAGUGAUCUGCCCUGCACUUCGGGAUAAGCCUGGGAAACUGGGUCUAAUACCGGAUAGGACGAUGGUUUGGAUGCCAUUGUGGAAAGUUUUUUCGGUGUGGGAUGAGCUCGCGGCCUAUCAGCUUGUUGGUGGGGUAAUGGCCUACCAAGGCGUCGACGGGUAGCCGGCCUGAGAGGGUGUACGGCCACAUUGGGACUGAGAUACGGCCCAGACUCCUACGGGAGGCAGCAGUGGGGAAUAUUGCACAAUGGGCGCAAGCCUGAUGCAGCGACGCCGCGUGGGGGAUGACGGCCUUCGGGUUGUAAACUCCUUUCGCUAGGGACGAAGCGCAAGUGACGGUACCUGGAGAAGAAGCACCGGCUAACUACGUG